Arachis stenosperma is the source of this 2583-nucleotide RNA transcript. RefSeq lists it as uncharacterized. The record is from RefSeq and is a predicted model, not a curated record. Lineage: Eukaryota; Viridiplantae; Streptophyta; Magnoliopsida; Fabales; Fabaceae. The transcript has 17 exons.
AGCAAAAAAACAAAAUUUAUGAACAAUUUGUUGACUCUGAAAUCUUCUUCUUCCUCUCCCAGCCGUGCUCUCCUCCUACCCAGCCGCGGCAUUCCCCCUAUCCGCCGUCGUCCCCUUCCUUCGCCGGUGCAAUCUCUUUUCGUUUUCGAUUUCCUCGCUGUCGCCUUCUAGCCACCUUGUAGUCGCCAUCGUCGUCGCUGUUCCCUGCCGCCUUUCAGUCACCGUCGUCUCCUCUCUCCCAGAAGUCUUGCAAUCGCCGACGUCGCCUCCCAGUCCUCUGCUAAGCCGCUCCUCGGCUUCUCAGUUCAGGACUUUCCUCAGUUUCGAGUUCGAUCAUGUCGAAGGACAAGGACUCUACCAAUUUGUCACGCACCUUCAAAUACCUCUUAGCUACUCAAUUCUUGUCAAGAGGAAUUCCAUUUAUAUUCAAUACAUGGAUUGUAAGGCAUCUUACACAAGAGGACUAUGCGCUAUAUGCAGUGCAGUUUCAUCUGUUUAUCACAUGUGUUUUAUUUCUUAGUCGGGAAGGCUUCCGGCGAGCAUGCUUGCGCAUGGAAAUGCAAAGUGAUGACAAUACAAAAGAUGUUGUGAAGCUAAUGAAAGUGGUGUGGAUGAGUUUCCCGCUUGGAAUAUUUAUUACAAUAGUGGCAUGCUCUUUUGUUCUAUGGUUGCAAGGCCUAAGUUAUUCUAGUUCACUUGGGCAAGCUGUCUUGAUAAAUGGUCUUGCAUGCAUUUUGGAGCUUUUAGCUGAGCCUUUGUAUAUUCUUUCACAGAACUUGGUCUUGCUUGAAUUAAGAUUGAUGGUUGAGACAGUAGCUACUAUUUCACGAUGCUUGACAAUGUACUUUCUACUUGUCAAGAAAUCUCAAAUGGAAAAACCAAUCAUAUUUGCAUUAUCACAAUCUGCGUAUGGAGCCUGCUUAUUUAUUGGUUACUGGGGUUAUCUCAUUCUAUUCAGCAAAUUCAAAUGUUCUUACCUUUUCCCAUUCAGAGAAGGAAAACUGAUUGACUUUGAUAAGCAGCUGUCCAAGAUGUGCAUGUUGUUUACCUUUCAAUCUUAUCAAAAGUUGAUUCUUCAGGAAGGAGAAAAAAUGGUGCUUGUGUGGUUGGAUACACCAUAUAAUCAAGCAGUGUAUGGUCUUGUGGACAAAUUAGGUAGCUUAGUGGUGAGACUAGUCUUUUUACCUUUUGAAGAAAGUUCAUAUGUAACCUUUGCAAGGUCUGCUUCAGGACAAUAUCCAGGGAAGAGCAAGAAAUUAGGAAACUGCUUGAUGGAGUCCCUCAAGUUAGUUUUGUUGAUUGGCCUUGUCUUUAUGGCAUUUGGUCCAAGUUAUUCUUAUUCGCUCAUUAGAUUGCUGUAUGGUGAAAAAUGGAGUGAUGGGGAAGCGUCAACUGCUCUCCGCUACUACUGCCUUUAUGUCAUUGUCUUGGCUAUCAAUGGAACAUCUGAAGCCUUCUUGCAUUCAGUUGCAACAGAGAGCCAACUAAAGCGUUCAAAUCAUUCAUUAGUUGUAUUCUCGGUGAUCUAUGUAGUUUUGAAUGUCCUGCUAAUAAGAAUAGCUGGGGCAGUUGGCUUAAUUAUGGCAAAUUCUCUCAAUAUGACCUUGAGGAUUUCAUACUCUGCUGUAUUCAUUAAAAAUUAUUUCAAGGAAUCUUCCUCAUUUUCAUUCUCGAGCUGCUUGCCUUCAGGAUGGACUUUUCUGUUAAUUUCAGGUGUAAUCACUCUCAUUUCUGAGAAUAUAUUUCUGGACCAAGAAAACUUCUGGCCAACAUUCAUGAUCCAUUUGUCUGUUGGGCUGGCUUGCUUCUGCAUUUCAUCUUAUGUGAUCUACCAACGGGAAAAACCGUUCAUCAAAAGGAUUAUUCGUUUUCGUGAUCACUCAGACUGAAGAUUUUUGCAAAUUUACCUGCAGAGGAAAGAGCAUGGAUUACCAGGUAGUUUUCUGUGGCAUGAUAUGUUCACCCAUGCCAAUAGAAGAAUGCUAACUAUUGAAUCUGAUUGAGCAGUUUGUAACAAAGAAAAUUAGUUGGUUUGUUGAGAUAAUAACCAAAAAGGAGGAGAAUGGAACCGCGGUGGAUCUAACUCGCUGACUAAAAUUUGUAAUACACAACACAACAAAUGUGGACGUGUAAGGCUACAAGAGAUUAUAAAUCGAGUUAACCUUCUGGCCAGAUUCAGGUCAGUUGAAAACUAACUAAAUGGGUGUGCUACUGUGCUCACAUUUUCUAAUCUGAUACGCUAAAAAUAUCAUCCCAUCCCGUUUUAUUUGUACGUAUCACACACUCCAAAUAAUGCGGAAUUGCUGAAAUUUUGAAGUAAAACAAAACUUGGGAAAUUCUCGAUUGUUUAUCCAAUAUACUUAGGGCUAAAAGCCUGUGGAAUGAUUAAAAAUUAAUAGAGUAUGGUGAGUAUAGGUGAAAAGUGAGAGAAAAUGAAUAACAUACAAGGGAAAAUGGCCAACUAAGACACCUGAAAGUAGUGAAGAUUGAUUGAGGUGUAUUUGAUAUCGCCGCUUUAUUUGAUGUUUGUGGGGAUAAAAUUUGCAGCAAUUAUACUAAUCAGAUGAAGGGGAAAAAACAAAU